Long non-coding RNA from Polypterus senegalus (gray bichir), 1479 nucleotides. RefSeq lists it as uncharacterized. The transcript has 3 exons. The record is from RefSeq and is a predicted model, not a curated record. Lineage: Eukaryota; Metazoa; Chordata; Cladistia; Polypteriformes; Polypteridae.
GCAAACUUCCGUGGAUGUUAAUUUAAAAAUUUCUUCUACCUGGAGUUGCGAAGAAAUAACAAAAACUGCACUGUAUUCCUUGGGAUAUUGUUAAAGCUGGAAAUUUUGAGAUUGAACUUCAAUGCUCACUUUUCCUGAGCUCAAGCAGAUGUUGCUGAGAUUGGUGCCCACUCCCCCUGGACCCCAGCCGGUGCGGAGCCCCACUGAAUGAAGGAUAAUCAGGUGGAAUCGAGGCCUCUGCUCUCACCGCCAUCGCCCGUCUGUGUCUGUCAAAACUCAGAUAUACGGCACGUGCUCGGUCACAAUAUCAGCUAAAGCGGUUCAGGCUCAUCGAGAACUGCUGCACGUCUUCAUGUAAAGUGCUAUAUGAAAACAAAAGACCACCAAAUGUGAUUUGCUGGUGCUGAGGUCAGCAAUGUACAGUAGCACACAUUUAGUGUAAAGAAGCCGUGCGUUCUCAAGACACUCGGGUGUGAACUCACAGAAAGCCUUUCAAAAGCGGCCUGGACACAGUUAGCUAAAAAUCAUGGAGGAGGAGCCCCCCCAGUGUUAACACUUCAGAGUGCAGAAUAUGAAGGUGCAGCAUUUGUCAGGGAUGGGGUAGUGGACAUGUUUAAAGACACUUGCACUUAAAAGCACACUGUGGCCAUCUUUUGUAACAUUAAAAAGCAGCAGCAGUGUUAGGGGUUGCAUGAAGUAAAGAUGACCCCUUUCCAAACAAAAAAUAAAAUCGACAGCCUAAGGCACUCACAGCAAACAAUGAGAAGGGUCUUAUGAAUAUUUACAUAUAUCUCUUUGAGGGUAUUCAUCCAAAGCAGGGUUCUUCAAAUGCAAUUCUGGGGGCCACAAUGGCUCCAGAUUUCUGCCCCACCUAUGCAGGUACAAAAACAUUCUAAAGCCUCACACAUUACAGACCCUGAAAAGUAAAGAAUAUGGAAGCAGGAAGGGGUGAUCUGAGACAAUGACUUAGACUGGGACUUAAACAGCUGAAUCUAAAAGGGUUCUUCUGUGGUGCACAUGUAGACGUUUACCAACAACGACAAGAAGUAUGCAUGGUGGCAUCCAACAAGAGCACUAUGUAACAGUGUCUUCUGAUCAAUAGCAGGGCGCGAUUGUGAAGUUCAUUUGGAUCAAGCAGAGUCCCAACAGACCCUUUAAGGUUGCUCUACUGUAUUUUCCGACUGCAAACUUUUGAGCUUUCAGAAGGGAAAACCACAGGAACAAUGGUCCAAGCGCAUACUGUAUAAAUCAAAAGCAACCAUCAAGAACAUCUAAACUCCUCAUCAAAAAGAAAGCAGAAAUCGAAAUGCCAACACUGCCCUUUUUGUGCUUUCCCAACUAGUGUCCAACAAUGACACAUUUAUUGUGACCUUCAGUCUUCUUGUGUCAAUGAAAGUAUGACUAUUAAGUCCAUCCAUCCAGCCAUUAUCCAACCCACUAUAUCCUAACUACAGGGUCACGGGGGUCUACUGGAGCCAA